This 470-nucleotide ribosomal RNA is filed under the name uncultured bacterium. RNAcentral describes it as "partial 16S ribosomal RNA". It matches the Rfam family "Bacterial small subunit ribosomal RNA", at positions 28 to 507 of the family's 1533-position model. The record is from RNAcentral.
GACGAACGCUGGCGGCGUGCUUAACACAUGCAAGUCGAACGAGAUCCAAUGUGUAGCAAUACACAGGAAGAUCUAGUGGCGAACGGGUGAGGAACACGUGAGAAACGUACCCCAGACUUUGGGAUAACAGUCCGAAAGGACUGCUAAUACCAAAUAACGUCGGAAGUCCGCAUGGACAUCUGACGAAAGGGAUUCCGGUUUGGGAGCGUCUCGCGGACCUAUCAGCUAGUUGGAGGGGUAACGGCCCACCAAGGCAACGACGGGUAGCUGGUCUGAGAGGAUGGUCAGCCACACUGGGACUGAGACACGGCCCAGACUCCUACGGGAGGCAGCAGUGGGGAAUCUUGCGCAAUGGGCGAAAGCCUGACGCAGCAACGCCGCGUGCGGGAAGAAGGCUUUCGGGCUGUAAACCGCUUUCAGUAGGAACGAAACUGACGGUACCUACAGAAGAAGGAGCGGCCAACUAUGUG